GAAGAGGGAGUCAGUUAUUCUUCCUGGGAGCUCUCCUGAAUAGAAUCUAUACACAUUAAUAUCCCAAGUGGAACCAUACACAGAAACAAGGAAAAUGAAGCAACUAAAGCAGUGGUCUUCAACCUUUCCGGCACCAGGGACCAGUAUAGUGGACGGACAUGAAACCAAAGGAAAGAAGCUAAAUUUUCUAUAUGGACUGAGGUAGAAAAAGAGAAUAAACAAACAGAGAGAACAUUCAAGUUCAGCAAGGCAGGAACAAGAAGAUCUUGAGAAGAUCAAGAGAAAUAAGCCCUUGAGAAUAUUUUGAGAAAAGCAUUCGAUUUCCAUACAGGUGGUAAUAGGAGCCUCUAAUUAACCUUAAUUUCUUAGGAUGAGUUUAGGACACUUGUUUUUGAUAGCACCUCCAACACAGAUAAUGGCCAGUAGUUAGGAUUUUAAGCAGAAGAUUGCGAUUAUACUUCCUCUUGAUAUAGAACUCUUCUCAAACUCAGAUUAACAAAAAAAAAAAUUAAAAAUUUGCCAAGUUUCCAC
Molecule: long non-coding RNA, 531 nt
Filed under: Homo sapiens (human)
Lineage: Eukaryota; Metazoa; Chordata; Mammalia; Primates; Hominidae
Description: HSALNT0078104
Source: RNAcentral